UUCUCUAAACACAAAUAAUUUAUUUCAGUUUGUUCAAGAGGACUAUACACUCAGUGAUGUUCUGAACAGUAUCACAAAGGAGGAUUUGCAACUGCUCAGACUCCGUGGUGGACUUGUCUGUCGCAUCUGGAAUGCAAUAUUAAAACACAGAAAGCAAAAUGCAGUCUUGGGAAUGGAGGAUUAGCAUUUUACUUUUGCCAGAUGCUAAUGGACUGUAAGAAAAAAAAUACAUUCCAAAUAAGUUUUAUAUACAGAUUGCCUUGCAUGUUUUGCACAAUUAAAAGCUCUGUUUAUAAAUAUUAAAUGAUAUUACAAA
Molecule: long non-coding RNA, 316 nt
Organism: Thamnophis elegans (Western terrestrial garter snake)
Lineage: Eukaryota; Metazoa; Chordata; Lepidosauria; Squamata; Natricidae
Exons: 2
Source: RefSeq, a predicted model, not a curated record